UACAAUUUAUACCAUUCUGCC
This 21-nucleotide non-coding RNA is filed under the name Caenorhabditis elegans. Lineage: Eukaryota; Metazoa; Nematoda; Chromadorea; Rhabditida; Rhabditidae. The record is from RNAcentral.